GACGAACGCUGGCGGCGUGCUUAACACAUGCAAGUCGAACGAUGAACCCGGAGCUUGCUCUGGGGGAUUAGUGGCGAACGGGUGAGUAACACGUGAGUAACCUGCCCUGGACUCUGGGAUAAGCGUUGGAAACGACGUCUAAUACCGGAUAGGACCUUGGAUCGCAUGAUCUGGGGUGGAAAGUUUUUUCGGUCUGGGAUGGACUCGCGGCCUAUCAGCUUGUUGGUGAGGUAAUGGCUCACCAAGGCGUCGACGGGUAGCCGGCCUGAGAGGGUGACCGGCCACACUGGGACUGAGACACGGCCCAGACUCCUACGGGAGGCAGCAGGAGGGAAUAUUGCACAAUGGGCGAAAGCCUGAUGCAGCAACGCCGCGUGCGGGAUGACGGCCUUCGGGUUGUAAACCGCUUUUAGUAGGGAAGAAGGGCUUCGGCUUGACGGUACCUGCAGAAAAAGGACCGGCUAACUACGUG
RNAcentral lists this ribosomal RNA (472 nucleotides) under uncultured bacterium. RNAcentral's name for it is "partial 16S ribosomal RNA". It matches the Rfam family "Bacterial small subunit ribosomal RNA", at positions 28 to 507 of the family's 1533-position model. The record is from RNAcentral.